Molecule: ribosomal RNA, 614 nt
Filed under: Loma richardi
Lineage: Eukaryota; Fungi; Microsporidia; Glugeidae
Description: SSU rRNA
Rfam family: Microsporidia small subunit ribosomal RNA
Source: RNAcentral
GAUGUCGUGGUGCCGAAUAAUGGCGACGCGAAAGAGAAAUCGAGUAGGGCCCUGGGGAGAGUACACGCGCAAGCGAGAAAUUUAAAGGAAAUUGACGGAAGAACACCACAAGGAGUGGAGUGUGCGGCUUAAUUUGACUCAACGCGGGACAACUUACCGGGCCCGACGACCGUAUGAGUGUAACACACGAUAGGUCGAAGAGUGGUGCAUGGCCGUUAACGACGAGUGGAGUGAUCUUUGGGUUAAGUCCGUAAAUUAGUGAGACCUCAGCCGUAAGGGACAGGUGCGCAAAGCACAGGAAGGAUGGGUCAAGGACAGGUCAGUGAUGCCCUUAGAUGGUCCGGGCUGCACGCGCACUACAGUGGUCGCCGAAAUUACCUGAUAAUUUUAAAGGCGAUCGAGAGGAAAUGAGCUUUGUAAGAGGCUCAGGAACGAGGAAUUGCUAGUAAUCGCGGACUCAUUAAGACGCGAUGAAUACGUCCCUGUUCUUUGUACACACCGCCCGUCGUUAUCGAAGAUGAAGAUAGGCGCGAACGAUCUACCAGAAAGUGAGCGCAGGUCUUUAGAUCUGAUACAAGUCGUAACAAGGUAGCUGUAGGAGAACCUGUAGCUGG